ACCCUACUGACGGAUUGAACGACAGCCAGUAGCGAGAACUGGGUAGGGU
RNAcentral lists this non-coding RNA (49 nucleotides) under unclassified sequences. RNAcentral's name for it is "DUF2693-FD RNA". It matches the Rfam family "DUF2693-FD RNA". From Rfam's summary of the family: DUF2693-FD RNA is a non-coding RNA (ncRNA) recognised in Bacteroides by a bioinformatic analisis by Zasha Weinberg. The record is from Rfam by way of RNAcentral.